UAGAGUUUGAUCCUGGCUCAGAUUGAACGCUGGCGGCAGGCCUAACACAUGCAAGUCGAGCGGUAACACAGAGGAGCUUGCUCCUUGGGUGACGAGCGGCGGACGGGUGAGUAAUGCCUGGGGAUCUGCCCGAUAGAGGGGGAUAACUACGGGAAACUGUAGCUAAUACCGCAUAACGUCUACGGACCAAAGUGGGGGCUCUUCGGACCUCAUGCUAUCGGAUGAACCCAGGUGGGAUUAGCUAGUUGGUGAGGUAAUGGCUCACCAAGGCGACGAUCUCUAACUGGUUUGAGAGAAUGACCAGUCACACUGGAACUGAGACACGGUCCAGACUCCUACGGGAGGCAGCAGUGGGGAAUAUUGCACAAUGGGCGCAAGCCUGAUGCAGCCAUGCCGCGUGUGUGAAGAAGGCCUUCGGGUUGUAAAGCACUUUCAGCGGGGAGGAAGGGUCACUAGUUAAUACCUAGUGGCAUUGACGUUACUCGCAGAAGAAGCACCGGCUAACUCCGUGCCAGCAGCCGCGGUAAUACGGAGGGUGCAAGCGUUAAUCGGAAUUACUGGGCGUAAAGCGCACGCAGGCGGUUUGUUAAGUCAGAUGUGAAAUCCCCGAGCUCAACUUGGGAAUUGCAUUUGAAACUGGCAAGCUAGAGUCUUGUAGAGGGGGGUAGAAUUCCAGGUGUAGCGGUGAAAUGCGUAGAGAUCUGGAGGAAUACCGGUGGCGAAGGCGGCCCCCUGGACAAAGACUGACGCUCAGGCGCGAAAGCGUGGGGAGCAAACAGGAUAAGAUCCCCUGGUAGUCCACGCCGUAAACGAUGUC
RNAcentral lists this ribosomal RNA (817 nucleotides) under uncultured bacterium. RNAcentral's name for it is "bacterial SSU rRNA". It matches the Rfam family "Bacterial small subunit ribosomal RNA", at positions 1 to 813 of the family's 1533-position model. The record is from RNAcentral.